This 252-nucleotide ribosomal RNA is filed under the name uncultured bacterium. RNAcentral describes it as "partial 16S ribosomal RNA". It matches the Rfam family "Bacterial small subunit ribosomal RNA", at positions 524 to 776 of the family's 1533-position model. The record is from RNAcentral.
UACGGAGGGUGCAAGCGUUGCUCGGAAUCACUGGGCGUAAAGGGCGCGUAGGCGGGCAGUCAAGUCGGUCGUGAAAUCUCCGGGCUCAACCCGGAGGAGUCGGCCGAAACUGGUUGUCUUGAGGGAGGCAGAGGAGUCUGGAAUUCCCGGUGUAGCGGUGAAAUGUGUAGAGAUCGGGAGGAACACCGGUGGCGAAGGCGGGACUCUGGGCCUACCCUGACGCUGAGGCGCGAAGGCGUGGGAGCAAACGGG